RNAcentral lists this ribosomal RNA (460 nucleotides) under uncultured bacterium. RNAcentral describes it as "partial 16S ribosomal RNA". It matches the Rfam family "Bacterial small subunit ribosomal RNA", at positions 338 to 795 of the family's 1533-position model. The record is from RNAcentral.
CCUACGGGAGGCAGCAGUGAGGAAUAUUGGUCAAUGGACGAGAGUCUGAACCAGCCAAGUAGCGUGAAGGAUGACUGCCCUAUGGGUUGUAAACUUCUUUUAUAUGGGAAUAAAAUGUUCCACGUGUGGGAUUUUGUAUGUACCAUAUGAAUAAGGAUCGGCUAACUCCGUGCCAGCAGCCGCGGUAAUACGGAGGAUCCGAGCGUUAUACGGAUUUAUUGGGUUUAAAGGGAGCGUAGGUGGAUUGUUAAGUCAGUUGUGAAAGUUUGCGGCUCAACCGUAAAAUUGCAGUUGAAACUGGCAGUCUUGAGUACAGUAGAGGUGGGCGGAAUUCGUGGUGUAGCGGUGAAAUGCUUAGAUAUCACGAAGAACUCCGAUUGCGAAGGCAGUUCACUGGACUGCAACUGACACUGAGGCUCGAAAGUGUGGGUAUCAAACAGGAUUAGAUACCCCUGUAGUC